GGGAAUGUGGCUUAGUGGUAGAGUGCUUGCCUAGCACUCAUGAAACUUUGGGUUCGAUUCCUCAGUACCA
This 70-nucleotide transfer RNA is filed under the name Dipodomys ordii (Ord's kangaroo rat). It matches the Rfam family "tRNA". Rfam says of the family: Transfer RNA (tRNA) molecules are approximately 80 nucleotides in length. The record is from Rfam by way of RNAcentral. Lineage: Eukaryota; Metazoa; Chordata; Mammalia; Rodentia; Heteromyidae.